ACACUGGGAGUGCACAAGAAGUUGAGAGAGAACAUGGCUGGGACAGCUGACCCUAAAUGACCAAAGGAAUAUUUGAUACCAUAUGACAUUGUGCUCAGAUAUAAAAGCUGGGGAGACAAGGAGAAAGGGAGGCAUUCUCAGAGUAUUUGUCUUCCCAAAUAACUAUUAUAAUGUUGCAGCCCUGCUUUCCUGGAAAUGGCUGAACACCUGCCUGCUGAUAGGAGAUAGUCUUGUAAGUUACUGCUAAAACUCCUGUCUGUGCCGGUUUCAUGCUUGGAAAGUUUCAACUCCCUCUCUCUAAAAGACCACCAUCUUUCUUCCUCCAACUGUCAAAAUGAAUAAUGUAUAUCUGCUUCCAAACAAAGGCAGUAACUGAGUGGCACUUGUGAACCAACAUACUUGGAACUGCAGAACAACAGUAAAAGCUGAAGGAACCUGCUCCAGAAUUUGAAGUCUGAACACACAAUUUGUAUUUGUUGCCUGCAAUCACCUGUUCUCUGUGGUCUGGGACAGAGGAAGAUCAGAGAUUCUAAAUAUGCCUAGCGCAAUCACAGCGUGAAUCACAGAUUCAUAUCAGUUUGCUCUUUAUGUAUCUGAUUUACGUUUGAUCUCCAGAUCAACUACUAAGAUUGAAAUCUUACUGGGCUGAUAUUGUGUAGACUCUAAAGGAUCAAGGAAGUAAGAUAGUCUGCAACAGGCAGCCUGUUAUGAUUACCACUAGUACAGGCAGUCUCAAGUUCCAUGCUUUGAUCCUAGUGUGUUUCAAACUACUAUGAGGGAAGUAUAGACAUAAUCCUUUCUUAUUUGAGUUAGAAUGCUUUUAUAUGACCAUGUAAAUAUUUCCAUUGUAAUUCUCUACAAUAGAAGCAAGACAUGUGCAGCACGUUAGCUAGUUAGUGUGUGUUACAAUACGCAAAACUUGUGGACUGAGUAUGCCACACCGAAGAUUUGACCCAAUUGACAGCCUGCACCUAGAAUAGAAAUAUGCCUGAUGCACAAUUUACCCCCAUAAAGUCAGAGAACCAUCAAUUCUGUCUCUAAAUUUGAGUGAAUCACCCUAUCUCCCCAUAGCCAUUAGAUAGAAUUGGAAACACUCAGGAAGAUUUUCUUUCUGAUUAAUCUUGGAUACCUGUCAUUGGGUGGUAUGAAUUCCCUUUGGAGCUGUUUGCAAAGGGAUCUAGGAUGUCUAGCACAACCAUAGACCGAAGAUGCCUAUGCAAGUGCAAAUAAAUUCUGUUCCUGUGGCAAACUCCCCCCCCCCUACCCCAGCCCCAAUCAGAAUUAUUAAAAUAUUUAAACUUCCUCCAUGAAGUCUAUAUGGAGAUGGACAUAAUACUAUCCAAUAUCCUUUAAUUUUGAAAUGUCUUGAGAAAUAUUGUCUUCCUUUUCUAAAUUGUUAUUAUUCUUAUAGGAAUCCUGUGAUAUCAGUGAGUGGUAUGUCGCUAGAAAUAAGAAUAUCAAAUAAUUUAAUUCAUUUUUCUACCUAGUACAUUGGAAGUGAGACAGAUUCCUCUGGAAAAGAAAUCUGUCCAAAAAGUUUCAGAGUGAGAACAAUAUAAUAUAAUAUAAUAGCUGCUGAAUCUGCUUUCCUUUUUAUUUUUUUUUUCCUUGAACAGGCAAUAUAGGGAAAAUUGCUCAGCUAUAGAGUUAACUAGGAGUAAUCCCAAAUGGCAGGAAGAAGGGCACUUCAUAGUCACAUAAUCAACUGAAACAGCAUUUAGAAAGAACAGACAGCUGGCCCAGUCCAAAAAUCAGCAGCCAAGUGGGAGAGUUUGUCAUUCUGUAAAUGGCAAAAUAACAAACACCUGACCUGAAGAUAAUAGGUUAAUUGCUUUACUAUUACAUUUUGCAUUGAUGUUUGUUUUAAUGUUGUGAUGGAUGAAAAGAGGUCAUUUUUAAAAAAAAUACAGGCCUUCCAGAACUGCAAAUGUCUGACUAGUGGCCUAAUGAAAAACAUCUCUUAGGUGAUAAAAUGAGUUGCAUGCAAAUGACAAGUGGGCUUGAUGUGCCCUGAAAACAUUCAGCUUGGAAUGACCUGUGAUCAUAAAUUACUGGCAUGCUGCAUCAGAUCCUAGACUCGUAAUUUCAUCAAGAUCAACAAGAUGCAAUCUUGAAAACUGUUUGCAUGAUGUGAGGACGAAUUGAUGCCCUUGUCCUUCCAGACUGUUGGAUCGCAUGCUCAGGAGUCUGACUACUUUGUGUCUCUAAGUAGCAGUAUAAGGCCAUUGUAAAUAAUUAAAUAGAAAUUUGUUACCCUUUUGUCAAAUGUAUUUCUGAUGUUACUCUUCCUUCGCCUCCAUUAAGAAAUCCCUUGAUUAAAUUUUAAAGUCUUAAACAGUUUGAAGGGCUGAGAGCACAGGACACAAACUACAGCCUGAAUGUUUUGCACAGGAAAGUCAUAUUCUCUCUGGGAGCAAAGAAAAUAAUAUCAAGUAUUUAAUAAGCAAUCCCGUGAUCCUUUUUCAAGACAUGAUGGUAUAGAUUUAAUUACUAAAUCAGUGGCUGGUGCUUGUAGGUCAUUUAUUUUUUUAUCUAUUUGUUUUUAGAGAUUCUGAAUUUCU
Molecule: long non-coding RNA, 2561 nt
Organism: Cuculus canorus (common cuckoo)
Lineage: Eukaryota; Metazoa; Chordata; Aves; Cuculiformes; Cuculidae
Exons: 3
Source: RefSeq, a predicted model, not a curated record